RNAcentral lists this long non-coding RNA (808 nucleotides) under Jatropha curcas. RNAcentral's name for it is "long non-coding RNA (JCUR_LNC002484)". Lineage: Eukaryota; Viridiplantae; Streptophyta; Magnoliopsida; Malpighiales; Euphorbiaceae. The record is from RNAcentral.
CUAAUCUUAUUAAUACCAUUAUCUAGAUGUAGACUACCAUCCACUGGAACCUCCACUUCCUUAACUUCAGAACUACCCUUACUUCCCUCCACAUCUCCAACAACAGCCGCUCCCAACUCUGGCAAAGCAACAUGAACAGCCUCCAUAAUUGAAUUCCAUCCACCAGUUAAUCUCACACCAUCAGUUUCAACUAAUUUGUCACUAUCUAGUCCAGAAGGACCGGUGUCCACCUUUUCAUUUCCAGCACUCAAAACCUCUGUCUCUUCAAUCAUCUUGCCCUCAUAAUCCUCCACUCCUUUCACUUCAGAACUACCCUUACUUCCCUCCAUAUCUCCAACAACAGCCACACCCAACUCUGGCAAAGCAACAUGAACAGCCUCCAGAAAUGAAUUCCACUCACCGGUUAAUCUCACACCAUCAGUUUCAACCAAUUUAUCAUUAUUUAGUUCAGAAGCAAAGGUGUCCACCUUUUCAUUUCCACCACUCAAAACCUCUGUCUCUUCGUUCAUCUUGCCGCCACAACCCUCAUUUUUCUUCCCUACAUCAAUUUCUGCAUCCAACUGACUCUUUUCCACGCCCAGCUUGUUAGGGUCCCCCUCACCCAAAUUCUCAUCCACCGCAACCCCCUCUCCUUGAAUACCCCCAACCUCAAUUCCAUUUUUCUCCUCUAAACCCUUAUCCCCAUUCCCAACUAAUUCACCCUUCUCAAAGGUCCCCAUUUUCGACUCUCCUACAACAUAUUUAUCAUCAUCAUCAUUUUUGGCCGAUACUUUCAACAACGGCUCUUCCCUUUUCAGUGCCGGAAAUU